Molecule: ribosomal RNA, 253 nt
Filed under: uncultured bacterium
Lineage: Bacteria
Description: partial 16S ribosomal RNA
Rfam family: Bacterial small subunit ribosomal RNA
Source: RNAcentral
UACAGAGGGUGCUAGCGUUGUUCGGAAUUACUGGGCGUAAAGGGCUCGUAGGCGGUUUGUCGCGUCGGGAGUGAAAACACCGGGCUUAACUCGGUGCUUGCUUUCGAUACGGGCAGACUAGAGGCAUGCAGGGGAGAACGGAAUUCCUGGUGUAGCGGUGAAAUGCGCAGAUAUCAGGAGGAACACCGGUGGCGAAGGCGGUUCUCUGGGCAUGUCCUGACGCUGAGGAGCGAAAGUGUGGGGAGCGAACAGG